This 234-nucleotide ribosomal RNA is filed under the name uncultured bacterium. RNAcentral describes it as "partial 16S ribosomal RNA". It matches the Rfam family "Bacterial small subunit ribosomal RNA", at positions 118 to 351 of the family's 1533-position model. The record is from RNAcentral.
UGAGUAACCUGCCCUUAACUCUGGGAUAAGCCUGGGAAACCGGGUCUAAUACCGGAUAUGACUCCUCAUCACAUGGUGGGGGGUGGAAAGCUUUAUUGUGGUUUUGGAUGGACUCGCGGCCUAUCAGCUUGUUGGUGAGGUAAUGGCUUACCAAGGCGACGACGGGUAGCCGGCCUGAGAGGGUGACCGGCCACACUGGGACUGAGACACGGCCCAGACUCCUACGGGAGACAG